UACGUAGGGGGCAAGCGUUGUCCGGAAUCAUUGGGCGUAAAGAGCGUGUAGGCGGUCCGGUCAGUCGGUUGUGAAAGUCAAGGGCUCAACCCUUGAAUGCCGGCCGAUACUGCCGGGCCUAGAGUCCGGAAGAGGUGAGUGGAAUUCCUGGUGUAGCGGUGAAAUGCGCAGAUAUCAGGAGGAACACCGAUGGCGAAGGCAGCUCACUGGGACGGUACUGACGCUGAGACGCGAAAGCGUGGGGGAGCAAACAGG
This 255-nucleotide ribosomal RNA is filed under the name uncultured bacterium. RNAcentral's name for it is "partial 16S ribosomal RNA". It matches the Rfam family "Bacterial small subunit ribosomal RNA", at positions 524 to 776 of the family's 1533-position model. The record is from RNAcentral.